Non-coding RNA from Taeniopygia guttata (zebra finch), 2611 nucleotides. NCBI's taxonomy places the organism in Eukaryota, Metazoa, Chordata, Aves, Passeriformes, Estrildidae. The record is from RefSeq and is a predicted model, not a curated record.
CUACUGUGUAUGUGGACACAUAUAUAUUCUGUGUGGAAACACACACAUAGCAUAUUGCAGCAUAAAAUGUUUCUUGACAGCCCCACAAUGCUAAGAUGAAAAAAUAUCCAGGAGAGAAAAAAAAAAAAAAAAAAUCUGUCACACCAGAGCAAAAUAAUUAUUGAAUUAUAUUCAUCUUCCCACCCCUAUGUCCACUUCCCCAAAAGUUAUUAUUAUUUACAAAGCAGACAGCCUGAAAAACAGGAGGACACACGUUUGCUAUUUGGCCAGCAUCCAAACUGAAGUCAAGCACAGAAAAUAUUGAGAAUAUCUUUACCUGCCUCCGUGAAAUCAAAGAGCAUAUUUUGAAGCACCAGAAGGUAUUUUCUUGCCAGCUUUUCCAUUUGUGUUUUCUGAUUGUCUGUGUGUUUUUUCAUUUGCACCCAACUGAGCACUGCUACAUCACCAGCUCCUUUGUUCUGGCCUGCUCAUCUGCUGCAAUAACUGUUUUGUUUUCCAGUUGGUAAUUCCAUCUUCUAGCAUAUAUCAUCCUGUUUGGCUACUUUAUUCAAUUUUAUCAAGUUGCCACUGCAAAUUAUUUGCACAAAUGGAGAGUGGAGAGCUUUUUUGCCCUGCUCCAGAAAAGCAUUUGGUCAUGCUGGAGUACAUGGUGGAAAAGAAUGGCACAAGCACAGACCAGAACAACUGAACUCAAGUGUUCAAGGAGAACUAGCCAGUAGCAAAAGUGAUAUUCAUUUUACAAGGCACAGGAAACCAAGAUAGCUUAUCUUAAUUCUACUCAUCUUGGAAAAAUAUUUCCUUAAGUUAUUUUAUGAUCUGUAUACAUGCAGCAUAAAUCCUCCAUUACCCACAGUUAAUUUAAAAGAGAGGAAAGAAUAGUAAUAGAAGCACUUCAUGUUGUUUCAAAUAAGUGAAAAAUUAAACUGCAACAGCAAAUAAAUAGAGUCUAGUCUUAACAUCACAAAGAUGCACAAUCGUAACAGAAUCUGUAGAAUGGGCUAUAUGUAAUCUUGUUGUCUUCAAUUUCUGCUCAUCAAACAAAGCACUCCUAUUAAAUAGCCUUUAUAUGCUCCCUAAUUCAAAAAAAUGCCAAGAACUUAAUUUAAUCCUCAAAGAAGAUACUAUCAGAUCUGUGCCUGCUGCUGUAAACAGAUAAUAGAAAAGGCAGCUUUAAUUCACAAACAGAAAAUUUCAGGGUUUUUCCAUAACAUUAACUUCCUACACUUGCCUAUAUCUCUUUGGCACAUCUUACCCAUUUUCCAAGGAGCACAAAAAUUCAUACUCUAACACGGCUGAAAGUCUGACAGAUAAAAAGUAUCCUCGGCCAGUAUUUUAACCUUAACUGCAUGGCAUCCUUGUUUGUAGGUGUUUAAAUUACUUGACUUACUGAAAUACUUCAUUCGUUUAAGAAACCUGAAUUGCUCCACAUUAAAGAGUUUUGGAAAGCUAAACUGUCCCUAUGAGCACCAUGAUUUAUAUUUAUGCUUAUUUUUCCCUAUUGAAAUAGCUUUGUCCAGAGCCUUGACCCACUUGUUGCCCAUUAGAGUCAGCCUGAUUUGUAUCACAAACUGAUGAUAUCCCUGUACUUACUUCAAUGCUCUUUCAAUCAGGGUAAGAAGGCAAGCAGAAUGAGAGCAGCCUUUGUCUUCCAGGGGGCUUCAUUUGUCAGAGAUAUCCUAUCGACAACAGGCUGAGGUUUAUUGCUCUAUUGCUCACAGGAGACACCUGCCCAGAGGGUUACAACAGAAGGAAGUGCAGGAAAAAGGACAGCAGGACCUGGAGGAGCAGCAGGUAAUAGAGACAGGCUGAAUUAUGGCUCCUGUGCAGGGAGGGAUGAAGACUGCUCUGGUGAUGCCCAAAGGACACAGGGGUCACACAGAUUCCAGAUGCUGUGCAAUAAAACACCCUCACAACACAGCUCGAGAAAACACACAGCUACAUUUUAACUAAUUGUAGGUCUUUGGACACAUGUACCAAUCCGUCUCAUAUAAAUAUUUAGAAAAUUUAUUCACAAAAUCAUGCAUUUUUAAAUCCUGAUGUUGUUAAUCCUAGUCAGUGGUUUUUUUAUCUUUGCAAGACGGCUUUCCAGUGGAAGGAUGGGAGUCUGGGAAUUCCACAGAUGGCAGCACAGCAAGGUCCCCAUCUCCUUUCUCCACCUCCUCUAAAAGGCUGAGCAGCCCUUGAGAGUCCAGGGACAGUUGACUAAAAAUCAGUCACGCAAGAUUUUUUCCUUAAUUCACAGAAAUGGUAUGGAAGUGACAGCAACAAUUACCAGAUGAAUGCACUGUUAAGUAAUCUACAGUGAACAGGAGUGAAAUCAUGGAAUAAAUUAGAAUGAUAUUACAAGAAACUUUUAAAACCAGAUUAAAUUAGUUUGGCUUGAAAAAUCUCAUUUCAUUAUCUGAAAGUUUUUAAUAUCUGAAAUAAGUAUAAUAUCAUGCAUAAUAUUUAAAAUAUAUUCUCAUCAUUUUUAUGAUUACAUAUAAUGAACAACAUUUGAUAAUGCUUACAUAUUGAAAACUUUAAAUUACUAUUUUAAGAUAUAUAUAUAAAAUUGGGGAUGUUAGGCUUUUCCCCCCAAGAAAAUCCAUUAUCCUUCUGUUACUGGGCA